RNAcentral lists this long non-coding RNA (218 nucleotides) under Brassica napus (rape). RNAcentral's name for it is "long non-coding RNA (BNAP_LNC008560)". Lineage: Eukaryota; Viridiplantae; Streptophyta; Magnoliopsida; Brassicales; Brassicaceae. The record is from RNAcentral.
GAUUCUGGAAUUAUAUGUGGCGAGACUUACGUCUCGUCCACAUAAGUUCCAAAAUCUUCUUCUCUUCUCGAUUUUAGGGAUUUAAACGUAGUACUCGUUAAUUCCUCGUAACAUAGCGUGGAACUUACGACGAAAAGUAAAAUAAAUAACGCGGGGCACGCUAGUUCCACGUAAGCCAAAAUCGUCGUAAGGUUGUCGUAAGGCCACGAGGAGUUUAC